RNAcentral lists this long non-coding RNA (17175 nucleotides) under Hordeum vulgare. Its description in RNAcentral is "long non-coding RNA (HVUL_LNC002751)". The record is from RNAcentral. Lineage: Eukaryota; Viridiplantae; Streptophyta; Magnoliopsida; Poales; Poaceae.
AAGGUUAUGCUGAAAGUAUUCUCCCAGUUACCAGCAUAGAUAUGCAGGCCUUGCGCACGCGCAACGACAGUGGCGCCAGGGCUAGGGCCAUCACAUAUCGACCAGUUGUUAACAACAGUCGAACCCAAACCAGUAGUGGCAUUGGAGUCUAUUAUAACUGACUGAUUUUGGUUUGAACCGAGGGGCGUGUGGAAAAGGUACAGGUUGCUGAAGUUGAGCUCAGUGAUCUCUACAAACGCGGCGGAGGGAGUUAUCUGGAAAUUGGCCAUGGUGACUGGUGAGUUGGGCGGGGCUCUGGCUCAAGAGAUGAUGUAGGCUUAUGAGAUGCUAGUAUUGCUGUGUGUGAUAACAGGAAGGUUGGGAGUGUUAUUUAUAGAUAGCCAGGGCCAAUGCAAGCGUGUCUAGGCUUAGAUGGAGCGCCACAUCCCACGUGUUUUGUGCUUGUGAGGAUCAGCCAUGUGUACCAUGAACACGCUAGGAUACGUACAAGGGGAGAACUGUUGGUGCUGACUCACCGUUGUGCAUCACGAGCAAGGGAAUCACUCGUUUUUAGAUAUGAUGACAGUAAGAAAUAAACGCUCGUACGGGUAACUCAUACUGUACCUUAGAUUUUGGUGUGGUGCGCUUCAUUGAAGUGGCGGAGCUUGGUGGGUGUCAGCCUAGGCCAUGCCCCCCUGGGCUCAAAGGAAACAAGCCUAUAUCCAUUCAUGUUAGGUCUAUUUUUCGCUACAAAUCAGUUAAAAGUAAUGAGGUCUGCCACCCCUCCCAUGUUUUUGGCUCAAGCUCUGCCAUUGUUAAAUAGCGAUGACGGUCAAGCCAAGCAACCAGUUGUGUCAACACGACCGACAGAGUGGGUUUCCCGCCGACGUGACUGUCUAAUGCUGGCAUGAGGACGGAGGGCAGCCCAUAUGUAUGUUGUAGUUAGUCAUGUUGUUGUCAGGUCCAGUCAUGACUGUUUGGCAUUGAACGGGCGUGGAGACCAGGAUGCGGCAUGGGGGGCGCUCUCAGCCGGCGCACCGCUUCAAUGUUGGCUGUACUGAGAGGCCCCUCCUUCUCUAGGUUGGCAUGAAUGUGGCAGAGAGAGCUGAGAUGCGUUGGCACAUGAGAUGUUUUUGGGUGGACCCAAGGUGUCCGAUGCUUACGUGGCUGCGGUCUGGAUGCCCACAAAGCCUUUUGGUUUGCAUUCAGUUUUGUAGGAAAACGGACAAUCGCACUCGUGUACGGACAGAUGUGAUACCAUGUUGGAUCGCAAAGUGCGUCGAGACCGCCCGGGCUGGACGCUUGUGGGCGGUUUGAGAGUCCAUGUUGUAGAUACCUUUAUUGUGCAAUGGUCCUUAUAUGCAUAUUUUUAGUAGUACUUUGGUAUAUAAGAUUUAGUUUCGAAAGUCUACAUGGUAAGUUGUGGAAUCAUAUGGAAUGGACCAUGCAAUAAAGAGCUGAAAAUGAUUACUACAUGUCCAAGACAAAUAGGGUCGUGCAUCAGACAUUCCCUUCACUAGUAGAAAAUAGGGCUUCAGACCAAGGAGGAAAUCCCAUUAAAAAAGAAUCGUGGGGCCAGGGCGCCGGCCGGACAUCAUGGGCCAUUGGUCCUGGUUCGUGUCACCCCGUUGGUCCCGGUUUCAUACACGAACCGGGACCAAUAGGCCGGCAACCGUUCGUAUCCCCUUUCGUCCCGGUUGGUGGUUCAAACCGGGACUAAGUGGUGGUGGCAACCGUUCGUCUCACCCCUAGGACGAAUUUUCCGCGGCGUUCUAUGAUCCAAGGUUAUGAAAAUUGCAUAUAGUGAUCUCUCUAGGUUCCAUUGGAUAGCAAUAUGCACUUUCUAUAUAAGUUCCAUUGGAUAGUUAAUUGAGGGUUUCUUGCAUUGGCCAUAGUUAGUUCUAGUGAAACAAUUUUCCUUAUUGCAUAUUUGCACAACCGUGGGAGAAUAUAUAUACAUGUCAUAGUUAAUUUACGGUUUCUUAAUCAAUUCAUAGGAUAUGAAAAUUGCAUAGGAUAGCAAUAUGUUUCAUUUGAAUCCUAAAAAUAAAUUUCUGUUGUAGUGAAACUACACCGUCGCCGCCGACAUGGACGAGAUCACCAUGAGCGACUCCGUCGCCGCCACGUCGCACCCGGAGUUCGGCGCGCAAGUUCAAACAAUGGAUACCACCGCGACAUCAACGACGAAGUCGACGAUGCCGAGGAGGGGGAGGGGAGGACGAGGCAGUGGAGGUGGAACCGGAACCAGUGCCGCAAAAGAAGGGGAGGAAGAGAAAACGGGCAGCAAACGCCAAGCCGGCCGAACCCCGCGUCAAGUGGACGUCCAAGGAAGACGAGUGCCUUGCCGAAGCGUGGAAGACUGUCAACACCGAUCCGAUCACCGGCGCGAACCAGAACAGCGAGACAUACUGAGGGAGAAUCAAAACUACGUUUGAUGAACGCAAUUUGGCCGACCCCGACUUCGCAAACAUCCACAUGGACCGCGACAAGAAGGCCAUGGCGAAUCGCUCGUCGACGAUCCAAACGUCCUGCAACCACGUGGCAUGGAAUCGUGGAGGAGGUCGCAGCUCGCCCGGAAAGCGGCGCCAACGUCUGGGAUCAGGUAUGCCCACAUUUGGCCGGCCCUAGUUCCUCACGUCGUCGCAUGCUCUACCGACAUGUUUUGUCCGCCGUCUUGUGCAAAUGCUUGGGAUGUUUGCCAUGUACCGCGCCAACAACGAGGACCAAGAGUUCAGGUUCCUUCACGAGUUCUCCAGGAUCGACUCGUGCGAGAAGUGGAGGAAGGUUCGGAUCGCCCUCAACAAGGCCGAGGAGACCUAUAACCCGAACGCACCUGCCCCGGCUGCGGCAGAAGGCCGCCAGAUGGCACCAAAAAGGCAAGGGCGGCGAGAGACGCGGUGCCCGCUGCCCAGCGGCUCCACGCUUCGAUCGAGCAAUGCAUCGCCGACGUCAAGAGCAACGCUACUAGGAGGGAGGAGAAAUCCGACUCGCGGUGGUCGGCGAUGAUGAUCAACGUCGCUGGAAAAAAGAGGAACACCGACCUAGAGUUUAUGAUGAGGGUAGACACGUCGACGAUAGAUGACAAGGUGAAGGUGUGGUACAUAGUACUGCACGACCUCAUCUUGAACCAGAUGACAGCGCCCAUGGCAACCAUGACGGCGACCGCAACCACAACCAUAACGGCAACAACAACCACAAACGCAACGACGACCACGACGAUGGCGGCCAGCCACACAGAGGGCACGCCAACCGCGAGCCCGACUACGCUGACGACGGACAGCCCUGGGGCGCCGAUGAUGAGCCCGUAUACGCCUGUGGAGGAUCCGCACCCCGCCGAGUUGGCUGUCUGAGCCGUUUUUAUCCUUUCCUUUCGACCGUCGAACUAUUGGUGUGUUUGAUCGCCGAACUAUGACACUGAUCGCCGAAUUCGCGGCAUGUUUUUGGACAGCGGGAAAUAGGAAUUUUAAAAACGUUGGCAUCUGGGUGCCGAAACCUGGUGGCGCGGCAGAAAACUCGCUCGCUCCCAGGCUAAGAAUAGUGCCAACGAAAUAUCAGAAAGGCUAUCGCUAGGGCGGACUGGGAGCCAAAUGGCUCGAGAUGCUCUUACUACAUGAGUUGCUAUAAAUUGCUAAAGUUAGAAUGAUUUGCUGAUCUCGGCACCGUUUACAUGCAUAUGUCACUUUAUAGUGUAUCCAGAUUACAUGACCCUUGUUUGUAAUGCUACGCAGAAGGCCUGAGCUGAUGUGAUAGCUUGUAAUCACUGAUGGAUUUCAUAAUAGAAUUUUAACUUAAUUACUGAUGAUAAGAUGAAAUUAAUCUUCAACCAAGCAAAAAAAUUCGGUUACAUAUACUUGGAUCGACAUUGUAGCUUUUAGUAGUUUAUCUUGCGACUGUGCAUCCAUGUCGGUACCAGAAAGAUCAAGCAUGUGAUGUUCACCGUGCAUGCAUGUUCACGAGCAAGUAGUAGUUAAGCUCUCGGCUGGAUUACUCAACUAGCUUGAUAAGAAUAUACGAAUAUGCAUGUCAAACAUUCAACUUGUGAAUAUUCUUUUAAGAAAAGGAGGAAUACCCCGUCCUCUUUAUCAAAUCGAUGCAUAUAACUGUUUAUUAUAUUAUUGCACAUAACCCAAUUAAACAACUACAUGGAUCAAUUCCAAGCAACCUGCAUAGCAACACUGUGGCUACACCUACCAUCUUAAUAAUGUGCCCAACCAUAUAUCAACACGUCUAUUCCGAUGGCCUCAACAAACCACGCAUCUGAAAUGACUGACCGACCUUUUUAAGCCGAAAGCUCAGCCGGUUGUGUCACCAAUGUGGCGACAUCGGCUGAGAGCGCAGUUGCCGAUAGCUCAGUGGCUGCCGUAGCCUAGAUCGACAGAUUUCGUAUGCACAGAUCAUGGUGGACUCCUGUAGCCCCAUCCUGCACUCUAUCUCUGAAGAGUUGGUGGAGGCGAAGGCCGAGAUGCUUGCGUAUGACGCGGCCAUGAAGGCCAAGAAGCAGAGGUAGAGGAUGUCGGGAAAGUUGACUUUGUUGGCUUUUGAAUGUGCGUAUGCAGCUGUACAGGCGUGCCUACGCGAUUCUUGCUUUGGCCGGCUAUUUGACGGAACUUGCGUAACUAGCGACACGAAUAAAACUGAUCGAUGGAUUAGAUGGCUAAAGGCCCGUGUCGAGCCUUUGUUUUGUAUUGCUUUUCGUUUUUCUGGUGUUACAAUCAACACCCCUAGGGUGUCUUUUAUACACGUCCACAAGGGACUAUGAAAAUAGACUAGGACUAGGAAUCCUAAUACUACUAGAACUCGGUUUGGCUUUCUUUCCUAAUCCUAAAGAAACAACACGAUUAACUUCUACAUUCACCUCCUUAAUCUUGUUGCUUGACUUCACUUCUUGCACUCCGACUUUCCUCCUCAUCUCGAUGAACUUCUGUCGACCGAGGGACUUGGUGAAAAUAUCGGCAAGUUGGUCUUUCGUGUUCACAUGUUGAACCUCGGUCAACCCUUCUUCAGUGCACUCCCGGAUAUGGUGGAACCGGGUAUCUAUGUGCUUGCUCCUUUCGUGAUGAACUGGAACUUUGCACAACGAGAUUGCAGCUUGGUUAUCGAUCUUCAGUGACACCUUCUGCACCUCCCGCUUUGCAAGAAUAGCUAGGAGUCUUCUCAGCCACACUGCUUGACAAGCCGCCGUGCUUGCCGCUAUGUAUUCUGCCUCGCAUGAAGACAAUGCCACCACCUUUUGCUUCUGAGAAUUCCAGCUAAUCGGAUUCGGGCCAAGGUAGAAAACCAUGCCCGUUGUGCUCUUUCGGUCAUCAACAUCACCUGCCAUGUCACUAUCUGAAUAUCCACGAAGGAUCAAUCCUUCCUUUCCCUUUCUGUACAUGCAACCAAUAUUAAUGGUGUCUUUCACAUAGCACAAGAUUUGAUUGACCGCGCUGAUGUGCUCGGUUGUCGGAUUCUCCAUGAAACGACUCACGAUCCCGACUGAAUAAGCCAAGUCAGGUCGGGUAUGCACCAAAUAUCUUAGGCUGCCCACAACCCUUCGAUACAUUGUGGUGUCCACCGGCGGAUUUGAGCUACGCUUGCUCAACUUGUGACGUUGGUCCAUUGGAACUUGUGUCUCGUAGCAAACGGACAUUGCCACACUUUUCCAAUAACUUGACCGCAUAAGCCGAUUGACAUAGGGAAAUCUCUCCGGAGCUUUGCUUCACUUCGAUGUCCAAGUAAUAGCUGAGGAAUCCCAGAUCACUCAUGCUAAACUUGUUCUUCAUUUGCGUCUUGAAACGUUCAAUUUCUUGUACACUAUCUCCAGUGAUAAUCAGAUCGUCGACAUAAACUUCAACUAGCAGGUUUGAGCCUUUGGAGUUCUUUGUAUAGACUGCGUACUCGAGGGGACAUCUCUUGAACCCGAGCGAGACCAGACUUCGGUCUAACUUUGAGUUCCAAGCUCUUGGCGCUUGCUUCAACCCGUAAAGUGCCUUCUUGAGCUGGUAAACUUUCCCUUCUUCGCCUUUCUUCUCGUAGCCGAGGGGUUGUUCCACGUACACUUCUUCUGUGAGAUCGCCGUUGAGGAAAGCGGAUUUAACAUCCAUAUGACGAACCUUCCAAUCCUCUUGUGCUGCCAAAGCUAGGAGCACUCUCACCGUCUCGAUUCGAGCAACCGGUGCAAACACCUCAUCAUAGUCAACUCCUUGACGUUGUACGUAGCCCUUUGCAACGAGUCUUGCCUUGUACUUCACAAUGGCACCCUCCGUGUCCUUCUUUAACUUGUAAACCCACUUCAAACCUAUCGUCUUUUGGUUUGGAGGUGGGGUUACCAAAGUCCACGUGCCAUUGCUCUCAAUUGCCUUCAUCUCCUCAUCCAUGGCCUGCGUCCAGCUAGGACUUUUGCUCGCCUCUACGAAGUUCGCCGGCUCCUCAACUCUGAACAGACAUAGUCCGGAGUACUCGAGCGUAACUGGCUUUGUGUACUUGUAGUCUUUCUUGAGGGUCUUGUAGCGACGAGGCCCUGAGGAAUCCGUUGUGGCUUGCGAAGGAGGCGACACAAAUUGUGUCGGUGUUGAUGCACUUGAGGAAGACGACUGAGACCUUGGUGUGUCAUCGACAUCCGUGUCGUCGGCGUAGUCGUCGUGACCGUGACCAUCAUCUUGAUUGUCGUCGUCACUAUGCGCCUCGUUGUCGAUGUUGUCGUCGAGAUCUCCGCCUGUGUCGUGCGCGGCGUUGUCGCCAUCUCCUUGCGACCUAUGCGCGUCGUCGUCGGUGUCGGCACCAUGAUGAUCACUACCAUUGUGGUCACCUUGGUUGGGCGUCUUGCCAACCACCUGGACAUCCUUCCCUGCAUCAUCAUCAGUUGGAAAUUCAACUGCAAAUAUGUUACUGUUUGGAGCAUCGUCGGCUGUGGCGCUCCAAUUCGACGCUUGGUUUUCUUGAAACACGACGACACGUGAAAUCCGUAGACGCUUGGUUUGUGGAUCGUAGAAACGGUAUGCCUUGUUGCCAGAACUGCUCUCGUAUCCGAUGAACACCAUCUUGGUGCUACGAUCGGCAAGCUUUGAGAGGUGCGGCUCCGCCGUCUUCACAUGUGCCACGCACCCGAAUGUCCGUAGAUGAGACACAUUCGGCUUACGUCCGUAAAUUGCUUCAUACGGAGUCUUGCUGAUCACCGCCUUCGUUGGAGCCCGGUUGAGAAGAUAGACCGCCGUCGAGACAACUUCUCACCAAAAAGUCCCCGGCAGGUUCUUGCUCUUGAGUAAACUCCUUGCCAUGCCAACGACGGUUCGAUUGCGCCUUUCAACGACCCCAUUCUGCUGUGGCGUGUAAGGUGCCGUGAGGAACCUCUUUAUGCCAAUCUUCUCGCAGUAGUCGUUGAACUCAUUCGACGUAAACUCUCCGCCGCGAUCUGUCCGUAGAGCGCGAACCUUCAGCUUGUGUUCCAUCUCUGUUGCAGCCUUUAGCUUCUUCAAUGCUUCAAACGCCUCAUCUUUAGACCGUAGGAGAAUGACCCACAUAUAUCUCGAGUAGUCGUCUACCACAAGGAAGAAAUACUUCUUUCCAGCGUGAGUUCCCGGGGUGAUAGGGCCACAUAGAUCACCAUGGAGCAGCUCGAGUGCAUCACUUGCACGAUAGGUAGACUGAGCAGGGAAUGGCCUGCGGUGCUGUUUUCCAACCAAGCACCCGUCACAUACUCGAUCAACAUGGUCGAUAACUGGCAUCCCGGAUACCAUCUCCAUCUUUGACAUCUUCUUCAAGGCGUAGAAGUUAACGUGUCCAAAUCUAGCAUGCCAUAACCACGAAUCAUCGUCACUCUUGGCGAGCCAACACUCUGGUUGAGAUUGAUCAAGGUUGAGGAUAUAUAGCCUAUUCCGUGUGCGAUUAACACGAGCUAGCACGUUUCGGAGGUUGUCGAAUAUCGUCAUCACUCCGCUCUCGAUAUUCACCUUGCAUCCAUUCUCGUCAAGCUUCCCAAUAGAGAUGAUGUUGUUGCGCAGCCGUGGGAUGUAGUAUACUCCGGUGAGUAUGCGAUGUUCGCUUGUGAGACCCUCAAAGAGGACAGAUCCUUGCCCGCAAAUCUCCACAGCUGAACCAUCACCGAACUUGACCGAGCCUUCAACAUCGUAUUCCAGCUCGAGGAAUUUCUCCUUGCACCCCGUCAUGUGGUUACUGGCACCCGUGUCGAGAUACCACGACACGUUCUGAUCAUUGGAUAACUUUGGUGUCACUUUUUCCUCAUGAAGUAGCACCUUCCGGCUUGGUUUCACAACCACCAUUUCAGCGAGAUCACAAACUUCGGCCAUCAGAAGACCUGGACCUUCGUCUUCCUGCUUUGCCAAAUUUGCCUUGAUCUCCCGCUUGUUAGGCUUUGGACAAUCCUUCGCAAAGUGACCCAUCUUAUUGCAGUUAUAGCACUUGACCUCGGACAAGUCCAAGUUCCGUGGUUUCUGCUCUUUAGAUUGGCCCGCCUUACCACGACCUUGUGGUUUGCCUUUUCCUUUGCCUUUUCCGGUUUGUCCAUCGCCCUUCGUGUUGCUUGAGCCUUCGCCACCGUCACACCUUCCUUUGCUACUUGGGGCCUCCCAAUCUGCGGGCGAGUACAUGAGUUGGUCACUACCUCCUCCUUUGCCUUUUCGACAGCCACGAGCAUUCUCUUCGCACGUCCACAGGAGUCCGAUCGCCUCCGUUAUGGUCAUGUCGUCGAUGUCGUAAAGCUGCUCGAGCGUGCCGAUGAUGUACGUGAAUUUGUCAGUCACUGAAUUGAAAAAUUUCUCCACAAUCUCGGUCUCCUCGAGCUUUGCACCAAGCGCGCGGAUCUCUCCCACCAAAGUAGUAAGACGCAUGGCAUAGUCGUUCACCGAUUCAGUUUCCUCCAUCUGCAACUUGUGAAAUUGGCACUUCAGCACUUGUGCCCGAGCCUUGGUGACACGAUCUUCUCCGAUCCUCAUCUCCUUGAGUGCGUUCCACGCCUCUCUUGCCGUCUCAAACUCCGCCAAUGUCAUUAGCACGAAAUCCGGCACGGACUGGGCAAUGGCGGCCAUGGCACCUUCGUCGGACUCGUCAUCGACGUCGUCGUCCGUGAUUGCCUGCCACACUCGAAGGGUUCGGAGAAUAAUCUUCAUCUUCACCGCCCACACGCCAUAGUUGGCGUCGGUGAGCAUCGGGUACUGGAUGGGGAUGUUGCGAUGCGCCUGGACGUUGGCGCCGCUCGUUCCUCCACCACUCGUUGCUGACUUGCCGCCCUUCUUCACCUUGUCACCGUUCUUGUUCGCCUUCGGACCACCUUUGCCGGACCUGACCGACUCAGCGUCGCUGUCCGCCAUCGUAGAUCGUCGAGGCUCUAGAUACCAAUUGUUGGCUUUUGAACGUGCGUAUGCAGCUGUACAGGCGUGCCUACGCGAUUCUUGCUUUGGCCGGCUACUUGACGGAACUUGCGUAACUAGCGACACGAAUAAAACUGAUCGAUGGAUUAGAUGGCUAAAGGCCCGUGUCGAGCCUUUGCUUUGUAUUGCGUUUCGUUUUUCUGGUGUUACAAUCAACACCCCUAGGGUGUCUUUUAUACACGUCCACAAGGGACUAUGGAAAUAGACUAGGACUAGGAAUCCUAAUACUACUAGGACUCGGUUUGGCUUUCUUUCCUAAUCCUAAAUAAACAACAUGAUUAACUUCUACAUUCACCUCCUUAAUCUUGUUGCUUGACUUCACUUCUUGUACUCCGACUUUCCUGCUCAUCUCGAUGAACUUCUGUCGACCGAGGGACUUGGUGAAAAUAUCGGCAAGUUGGUCUUUCGUGUUCACAUGUUGAACCUCGGUCAACCCUUCUUCAAUGCACUCUCGGAUAUGGUGGAACCGGGUAUCUUUGUGCUUGCUCCUUUCGUGAUGAACCGGAUUUUUGCACAACGAGAUUGCAGCUUGGUUAUCGAUCUUCAGUGACACCUUCUGCACCUCCCGCUUUGCAAGAAUAGCUAGGAGUCUUCUCAGCCACACUGCUUGACAAGCCGCCGUGCUUGCCGCUAUGUAUUCUUCCUCGCAUGAAGACAAUGCCACCACCUUUUGCUUCUAAGAAUUCAAGCUAAUCGGAUUCGGGCCAUGGUAGAAAACCAUGCCCGUUGUGCUCUUUCGGUCAUCAACAUCACCUGCCAUGUCACUAUAUGAAUAUCCACGAAGGAUCAAUCCUUCCUUUCCCUUUCUGUACGUGCAACAAAUAUUAAUGGUGCCUUUCGCAUAGCGCAAGAUUUGAUUGACCGCGCUCAUGUGCUCGGUUGUCGGAUUCUCCAUGAAACGACUCACGAUCCCGACUGAAUAAGCCAAGUCAGGUCGGGUAUGCACCAAAUAUCUUAGGCUGCCCACAACGCUUCGAUACAUUGUGGUGUCCACCGGCGGAUUUGAGCCACGCUUGCUCAACUUGUGACGUUGGUCCAUUGGAACUUGUGUCUCGUAGCAACCGGACAUGCCACACUUUUCCAAUAACUUGACCGCAUAAGCCGAUUGACAUAGGGAAAUCUCUCCGGAGCUUUGCUUCACUUCGAUGUCCAAGUAAUAGCUGAGUAAUCCCAGAUCACUCAUGCUAAACUUGUUCUUCAUUUGCGUCUUGAAACGUUCAAUUUCUUGUACGCUAUCUCCGGUGAUAAUCAGAUCGUCGACAUAAACUUCAACUAGCAGGUUUGAGCCUUUGGAGUUCUUUGUAUAGACUGCGUACUCGAGGGGACAUCUCUUGAACCCGAGCGAGACCAGACUUCGGUCUAACUUUGUGUUCCAAGCUCUUGGCGCUUGCUUCAACCCGUAAAGUGCCUUCUUGAGCUUGUAAACUUUCCCUUCUUCGCCUUUCUUCUCGUAGCCGAGGGGUUGUUCCACAUACACUUCUUCUGUGAGAUCGCCGUUGAGGAAAGCGGAUUUAACAUCCAUAUGACGAACCUUCCAGUCCUCUUGUGCUGCCAAAGCUAGGAGCACUCUCACCGUCUCGAUUCGAGCAACCGGUGCAAACACCUCAUCAUAGUCCACUCCUUGACGUUGUACGUAGCCCUUUGCAACGAGUCUUGCCUUGUACUUCACAAUGGCACCCUCCGUGUCCUUCUUUAACUUGUAAACCCACUUCAAACCUAUCGUCUUUUGGUUUGGAGGUGGGGUUACCAAAGUCCACGUGCCAUUGCUCUCAAUUGCCUUCAUCUCCUCAUCCAUGGCGUGCGUCCAGCUAGGACUUUUGCUCGCCUCAACGAAGUUCGCCGGCUCCUCAACUCCGAACAGACAUAGUCCGGAGUACUCGAGCGUAACUGGCUUUGUGUACUUGUAGACUUUCUUGAGGGUCUUGUAGCGACGAGGCCCUGAGGAAUCCGUUGUGGCUUGCGAAGGAGGCGACACAAAUUGUGUCGGUGUUGAUGCACUUGAGGAAGACGUCUGAGACCUUGGUGUGUCAUCGACAUCCGUGUCGUCGGCGUAGUCGUCGUGACCGUGACCAUCAUCUUGAUUGUCGUCGUCACUAUGCGCCUCGUUGUCGAUGUUGUCGUCGAGAUCUCCGCCUGUGUCGUGCGCGGCGUUGUCGCCAUCUCCUUGCGACCUAUGCGCGUCGUCGUCGGUGUCGGCACCAUGAUGAUCACUACCAUUGUGGUCACCUUGGUUGGGCGUCUUGCCAACCACCUGGACAUCCUUCCCUGCAUCAUCAUCAGUUGGAAAUUCAACUGCAAAUAUGUUACUGUUUGGAGCAUCGUCGGCUGUGGCGCUCCAAUUCCACGCUUGGUUUUCUUCAAACACGACGUCGCGUGAAAUCCGUAGACGCUUGGUUUGUGGAUCGUAGAAACGGUAUGCCUUUGUGCCAGAACUGCUCUCGUAUCCGAUGAACACCAUCUUGGUGCUACGAUCGGCAAGCUUUGAGAGGUGCGGCUCCGCCGUCUUCACAUGUGCCACGCACCCGAAUGUCCGUAGAUGAGACACAUUCGGCUUACGUCCGUAAAUUGCUUCAUACGGAGUCUUGCCGAUCACCGCCUUCGUUGGAGCCCGGUUGAGAAGAUAGACCGCCGUCGAGACAACUUCUCACCAAAAAGUCCCCGGCAGGUUCUUGCUCUUGAGUAAACUCCUUGCCAUGUCAACGACGGUUCGAUUGCGCCUUUCAACGACCCCAUUCUGCUGUGGCGUGUAAGGUGCCGUGAGGAACCUCUUUAUGCCAAUCUUCUCGCAGUAGUCGUUGAACUCAUUCGACGUAAACUCUCCGCCGCGAUCUGUCCGUAGAGCGCAAACCUUGAGCUUGUGUUCCAUCUCUGUUGCAGCCUUUAGCUUCUUCAAUGCUUCAAACGCCUCAUCUUUAGACCGUAGGAGAAUGACCCACAUAUAUCUCGAGUAGUCGUCUACCACAAGGAAGAAAUACUUCUUUCCAGCGUGAGUUCCCGGGGUGAUAGGGCCACAUAGAUCACCAUGGAGCAGCUCGAGUGCAUCACUUGCACGAUAGGUAGACUGAGCAGGGAAUGGCCUGCGGUGCUGUUUUCCAACCAAGCACCCGUCACAUACUCGAUCAACAUGGUCGAUAACUGGCAUCCCGGAUACCAUCUCCAUAUUUGACAUCUUCUUCAAGGCGUAGAAGUUAACGUGUCCAAAUCUAGCAUGCCAUAACCACGAAUCAUCGUCACUCUUGGCGAGCCAACACUCUGGUUGAGAUUGAUCAAGGUUGAGGAUAUAUAGCCUAUUCCGUGUGCGAUUAACACGAGCUAGCACGUUUCGGAGGUUGUCGAAUAUCGUCAUCACUCCGCUCUCGAUAUUCACCUUGCAUCCAUUCUCGUCAAGCUUCCCAAUAGAGAUGAUGUUGUUGCGCAGCCAUGGGAUGUAGUACACUCCGGUGAGUAUGCGAUGUUCGCCUGUGAGACCCUCAAAGAGGACAGAUCCUUGCCCGCAAAUCUCCACAGCUGAACCAUCACCGAACUUGACCGAGCCUUCAACAUCGUAUUCCAUCUCGAGGAAUUUCUCCUUGCACCCCGUCAUGUGGUUACUGGCACCCGUGUCGAGAUACCACGACACGUUCUGAUCACCGGAUAACUUUGGUGUCACUUUUUCCUCAUGAAGUAGCAACUUCCGGCUUGGUUUCACAACCACCGUUUCAGCGAGAUCACAAACUUCGGCCAUCAGAAGACCUGGACCUUCGUCUUCCUGCUUUGCCAAAUUUGCCUUGAUCUCCCGCUUGUUAGGCUUUGGACAAUCCUUCGCAAAGUGACCCAUCUUAUUGCAGUUAUAGCACUUGACCUCGGACAAGUCCAAGUUCCGUGGUUUCUGCUCUUUAGAUUGGCCCGCCUUACCACGACCUUGUGGUUUGCCUUUUCCUUUGCCUUUUCCGGUUUGUCCAUCGCCCUUCGUGUUGCUUGAGCCUUCGCCACCGUCACGCCUUCCUUUGCUACUUGGGGCCUCCCAAUCUGCGCGCGAGUACAUGAGUUGGUCACUACCUCCUCCUUUGCCUUUUCGACAGCCACGAGCAUUCUCUUCCCACGUCCGCAGGAGUCCGAUCGCCUCCGUUAUGGUCAUGUCGUCGAUGUCGUAAAGCUGCUCGAGCGUGCUGAUGAUGUACGUGAAUUUGUCAGUCACUGAAUUGAAAAAUUUCUCCACAAUCUCGGUCUCCUCGAGCUUUGCACCAAGCGCGCGGAUCUCUUCCACGAAAGUAGUAAGACGCAUGGCAUAGUCGUUCACCGAUUCAGUUUCCUCCAUCUGCAACUUGUGAAAUUGGUGCUUCAGCACUUGUGCCCGAGCCUUGGUGACACGAACUUCUCCGAUCCUCAUCUCCUUGAGUGCGUUCCACGCCUCUCUUGCCGUCUCGAACUCCGCCAAUGUCAUUAGCACGAAAUCCGGCACGGACUGGGCAAUGGCGGCCAUGGCACCUUCGUCGGACUCGUCAUCGACGUCGUCGUCCGUGAUUGCCUGCCACACUCGAAGGGUUCGGAGAAUAAUCUUCAUCUUCACCGCCCACACGCCAUAGUUGGCGUCGGUGAGCAUCGGGUACUGGAUGGGGAUGUUGCGAUGCGCCUGGACGUUGGCGCCGCUCGUUCCUCCAUCACUCGUUGCUGACUUGCCGCCCUUCUUCACCUUGUCGCCGUUCUUGUUCGCCUUCGGACCACCUUUGCCGGACUUGACCGACUCAGCGUCGCUGUCCGUCAUCGUAGAUCGUAGAUCGUCGAGGCUCUAGAUACAAAUUGUUGGCUUUUGAACGUGCGUAUGCAGCUGUACAGGCGUGCCAACGCGAUUCUUGCUUUGGCCGGCUACUUGACGGAACUUGCGUAACUAGCGACACGAAUAAAACUGAUCGAUGGAUUAGAUGGCUAAAGGCCCGUGUCGAGCCUUUGAUUUGUAUUGCUUUUCGUUUUUCUGGUGUUACAAUCAACACCCCUAGGGUGUCUUUUAUACACGUCCACAAGGGACUAUGAAAAUAGACUAGGACUAGGAAUCCUAAUACUACUAGGACUCGGUUUGCUUUCUUUCCUAAUCCUAAAGAAACAACAUGAUUAACUUCUACAGACUUUUGGCAGGAUAUCUUUUGAGGGUGGAAUACAAGGAGUGACUUCAUUUUCAACAUCACCCCCAGUUUAUAUGGUACAUGUGCUGAUUCAAAACAUAGCUUCAAUUGAUGGUGCACAGAGCAAAAAAGAAACCUUUUGCUACCCUUCCAGACUGAAUUCAAUCUUUCAGAUAACUAUGGUAGGGCCAUGGGUUUCAGGCAGCCAUGUUAUUAUUGGACCGGACUAGGGAGCGGCGCCGCAGGAAAGCCUUGCCGUGCGGCGGCUCCAACAAACUAAGCACGACCUACCAUAUGCAAGAUUCACUUUGAUGUUUGAAAUUCAAAAAGUUUUAUCUACAAAACCGUUAAUUCAAUCGAUGAUCCGUUUUCAUCAUUGACUUUCUCGCGACGAGUUCUUCGAAACUAGAUCCCAUGUCGACAUGUUCCGUCAACUAUUUUUUUCGUUCAUACUUGCCACAUUUUUUGACUCACUUGCCAUAUCAUUAACCACUUACUUGUCUAAAAAAAUAACUUGAUUGUCAUUUUUUAAUAUUGAUUUUGUACAAAGCCUUGUAGUAGUUUUCAUCAUACAUGAUAUAAAAAGCAUGUAGUAGGUUGUGUUUGUCAAAUUAAAUAUGUCAACUUGUCAUAUUUACAUAUAAAUUUGCCAGAAAACUAUUUUGUAUGCUUCUUAGUUUUACUGUGCCAAGUUGUCAUAUUUACAAACGAUGACCAAAAAAGAUUUCUUGUGGUCAUCGGUUUUAAAUAUGUUGAGUUGUCAUAUUUUUGCGCGUGAUCGCCUAAAAAAAGUUGUUUGUGCUUGCUCGUUUGAUUAUGUCGAGAUGUCAUAUUUAUACGCAAUUUCCAAAUAAUAUGACGAUUAAGUUAUUUUUAUCACACAAGUAAGUACUUACUAAUAUGACAAGUAAGUGCAACAAAUGUGGUAAGUACGAGAAACAAAAAAGUUGUCGAAACAUGUCGACAUGGGAUCUAGUUUUGAAGAUCUCGUCGCGAUAAAAUCAGUGGCGAAAACGGAUCAUCGAUCGAUAACACUUUUUAAAUUUCGGUCAUUCAAAACAAAUCUGCAUGCAUGCAUGACGAAGAGUGUGCCAGCUGCCGCACGCUAAUAACAAUAUGCAGCGCAGUUAGUUAGAUUUUCCCGUUAUUAUUUCCUGCUUUGUUGUUCUUUUACUAUUGUUUUAUUUUUAUUUUAUCCUGUUUGGUGCUUAGUCUUUCCUUUUCAAAAAAAUAUUUUUUGUACUAUUAUUACACCAAACACAUCGCACACAUAUUAAAAAACAGAUACUUUUAUUCAUCACACCAAAGAGUAUUAAAGGCCUACAUGGCGGCUACAUAGGAUCUUCUGGAGUAGAAGGACUACUCGAUCUCAUCUUCUUAUUCGAAUUGAAAAGAAAUACUAGCCUCUAUUGCUUAGAGUGGGCGCACGUAGACACCAAGCGCAUCAAGAUAUAUACCGCUACGCCCGAAGAACCCAACGAUGCUGCUAUUCUUCUGCGCGGGUAUGGUGAAAGGGGUUCCCUUCGCUUCUCCGAAAGGCCCGUACGUCUUCACAUUCGUGAUAAAUUUCAAGGAAGUUAUUAUGUUGUGUCGGUCUUUGUCAUAAAUGCCGAAUGUUCCAGAAACUUCCUUCAUAAAUUCAGAAGCGCCGAGCACAAACUGCAUUGGAACGAAAAAGAGAAGUACGAUUAGUUGCUUAUAUAUGCAAGUGUGAAAAUUCCAUAAAUAUUUCUUCGGGGUCCACUGACCGUGUUUUGAUUUCCUCCCGAACCUCCCCAGGGUCCAGCGUUGUGCUUCUGUCCAGUCUGGUCAACAUAAGAAAAUUUGAUUGAAUCAACAAUUGAGCCGCUGCUAACAGUGAUGCUCUCCAGACGCCUUGGUACUGCCUCUAAAAUGUCUUUAUCACCCCCUCCAUUUCCACCCCAUGGUCCAAGCUUUGUGAGAAGGCUCUACACGGUAUAACGAUUAUAUGAUAUUUUUGUUAAAUAAAAGGAUCAAUGUGCGCAAAAAUUGAUAUCUAUAUCUUCAAAUAAAUAUGUGGGGUGUUCAACUAACCUCUGAUUUCAACACGGGACAAAAUCCAUGGAUUGUGAGUUCUAUGAUGUUACCGUCACUCCUUUGUUCAUGGAGCUUUUUAUGAAUGACACCAUUUGCCAUUGCAAACUGUCCCGUCCCACCAACAAUAGCCCACUCGCCUUCUUCAACAGAUAUCCCCAUCACUUGAAGCGUUGACCCCUUAAACCUGUACAAUGUUCAUAUAUUGUUAGUACAUGUAUCAUGCACCCAUAAAAACUGUAAUAGGGUACUUCCUAAUAAUAGAAUCAGAUGUAGUCUAAUUAUAAUGUAUAUGAAAAUGUGUCACCUAACAAAGAUAUAUAACCAUGAUUUCUAAUUUUGCGACAACUAAUGUAUAUAUAACCAUGUGUUUGUGUGUGUACGUACCUUUCAAUCUCAAAGGUUAUGCUGAAAGUAUUCUGCCAGUUACCAGCAUAGAUAUGCAGGCCUUGUGCACGCGCAACGACAGUGGCGUCAGGGCUAGGGCCAUCACAUAUCGACCAGUUGUUAACAACAGUCGAACCCAAACCAGUAGUAGCAUUCGAGUCUAUUAUAACUGACUGAUUUUGGUUUGAACCGAGGGAAGUGUGGAAAAGGUACAGGUUGCUGAAGUUGAGCUCAGUGAUUUCUACAAACGCGGCGCAGGGAGUAAUCUGGAAAGUAGCCAUGGUGACCGG